This 478-nucleotide ribosomal RNA is filed under the name uncultured bacterium. RNAcentral describes it as "bacterial SSU rRNA". It matches the Rfam family "Bacterial small subunit ribosomal RNA", at positions 32 to 507 of the family's 1533-position model. The record is from RNAcentral.
AACGCUGGCGGCGUGCCUAACACAUGCAAGUCGAGCGAGAAUUCAUCAACGGAUUCUUUCGGGAUGAAGAUGAUGAGGAAAGCGGCGGACGGGUGAGUAACGCGUGAGUAACCUGCCCAUAAGAGGGGGAUAAUCCAUGGAAACGUGGACUAAUACCGCAUAUUGAGUAUUUACCGCAUGAUAAAUACUUGAAAGAUUUAUCGCUUAUGGAUGGACUCGCGUCAGAUUAGAUAGUUGGUGAGGUAACGGCUCACCAAGUCAACGAUCUGUAGCCGAACUGAGAGGUUGAUCGGCCACAUUGGGACUGAGACACGGCCCAGACUCCUACGGGAGGCAGCAGUGGGGAAUAUUGCGCAAUGGGGGAAACCCUGACGCAGCAACGCCGCGUGAAGGAAGAAGGCCUUCGGGUUGUAAACUUCUGUCUUUAGGGAAGAAGAAAGUGACGGUACCUAAGGAGGAAGCCACGGCUAACUACGUG